RNAcentral lists this ribosomal RNA (1461 nucleotides) under Enterobacter asburiae. RNAcentral describes it as "partial 23S ribosomal RNA". It matches the Rfam family "Bacterial large subunit ribosomal RNA", at positions 1493 to 2925 of the family's 2925-position model. The record is from RNAcentral. Lineage: Bacteria; Pseudomonadati; Pseudomonadota; Gammaproteobacteria; Enterobacterales; Enterobacteriaceae.
GGGCGACGGUUGUCCCGGUUUAAGCAUGUAGGCGGAACGAUUAGGUAAAUCCGGUCGUUUAUUAACGCUGAGGUGUGAUGACGAGGCACUACGGUGCUGAAGUAACAAAUGCCCUGCUUCCAGGAAAAGCCUCUAAGCAUCAGGUAACAUCAAAUCGUACCCCAAACCGACACAGGUGGUCAGGUAGAGAAUACCAAGGCGCUUGAGAGAACUCGGGUGAAGGAACUAGGCAAAAUGGUGCCGUAACUUCGGGAGAAGGCACGCUGAUAUGUAGGUGAAGCCCCUGCGGGUGGAGCUGAAAUCAGUCGAAGAUACCAGCUGGCUGCAACUGUUUAUUAAAAACACAGCACUGUGCAAACACGAAAGUGGACGUAUACGGUGUGACGCCUGCCCGGUGCCGGAAGGUUAAUUGAUGGGGUUAGCGGCAACGCGAAGCUCUUGAUCGAAGCCCCGGUAAACGGCGGCCGUAACUAUAACGGUCCUAAGGUAGCGAAAUUCCUUGUCGGGUAAGUUCCGACCUGCACGAAUGGCGUAAUGAUGGCCAGGCUGUCUCCACCCGAGACUCAGUGAAAUUGAACUCGCUGUGAAGAUGCAGUGUACCCGCGGCAAGACGGAAAGACCCCGUGAACCUUUACUAUAGCUUGACACUGAACACUGGUCCUUGAUGUGUAGGAUAGGUGGGAGGCUUUGAAGCGUGGACGCCAGUCUGCGUGGAGCCGACCUUGAAAUACCACCCUUUAAUGGCUGGUGUUCUAACGUAGACCCGUGAUCCGGGUUGCGGACAGUGUCUGGUGGGUAGUUUGACUGGGGCGGUCUCCUCCCAAAGAGUAACGGAGGAGCACGAAGGUUAGCUAAUCCUGGUCGGACAUCAGGAGGUUAGUGCAAUGGCAUAAGCUAGCUUGACUGCGAGAGUGACGGCUCGAGCAGGUGCGAAAGCAGGUCAUAGUGAUCCGGUGGUUCUGAAUGGAAGGGCCAUCGCUCAACGGAUAAAAGGUACUCCGGGGAUAACAGGCUGAUACCGCCCAAGAGUUCAUAUCGACGGCGGUGUUUGGCACCUCGAUGUCGGCUCAUCACAUCCUGGGGCUGAAGUAGGUCCCAAGGGUAUGGCUGUUCGCCAUUUAAAGUGGUACGCGAGCUGGGUUUAGAACGUCGUGAGACAGUUCGGUCCCUAUCUGCCGUGGGCGCUGGAGAAUUGAGGGGGGCUGCUCCUAGUACGAGAGGACCGGAGUGGACGCAUCACUGGUGUUCGGGUUGUCAUGCCAAUGGCACUGCCCGGUAGCUAAAUGCGGAAAAGAUAAGUGCUGAAAGCAUCUAAGCACGAAACUUGCCCCGAGAUGAGUUCUCCCUGACCCUUUAAGGGUCCUGAAGGAACGUUGAAGACUACGACGUUGAUAGGUCGGGUGUGUAAGCGCAGCGAUGCGUUGAGCUAACCGAUACUAAUGAACCGUGAGGCUUAACCUU